Long non-coding RNA from Solanum stenotomum, 511 nucleotides. RefSeq lists it as uncharacterized. The transcript is spliced from 3 exons. Lineage: Eukaryota; Viridiplantae; Streptophyta; Magnoliopsida; Solanales; Solanaceae. The record is from RefSeq and is a predicted model, not a curated record.
UCUUCAAAUCAUCAGGAUCGACACUUCUAUAGUAUUUUUCCAGCGAAACUCUGCCCCAAUCUCAACAACAGUGGAUUUCCAUAGCAACGGUGUCUUCUUGUUGUGUAUACGUAGUUCGGUGGAAAAAUAGAGAUGAAACCAUUGAAGAUUGAAAAUGAGGUCGAUUCUAAUAUGAAGAGUACUAUAAGAUAUACAUUUGUCGCACCUGGUGCUAUUGGAAAGGGACGAGGAUGAGGGCUUAAAUCUUUGGGUGAGAAAGGAAAUUUACCAUCUAAGAGUAUAUUGCCUCAAUCAAGUGAUCUAGUUAAGAAGUACAUCAAAGAAAUUGAAACAAAUUAAAUAGGGAAGGGACGAGGACAAGGACUUAAAAACUCUACCAUGUCUACUAGUCAAGGAAUAUGAAUGAUGCAUAAGAACUCCAUGGCUUUUGAGAAAGAGAACAUGCAAAUUAUUACUUCUUCUCCUACAUCUACUAAUCAAGUUAAGAAAUACACCCAAGAAAUUGAAACAA